RNAcentral lists this small RNA (113 nucleotides) under Caenorhabditis briggsae. RNAcentral's name for it is "sRNA CBG25116". It matches the Rfam family "SL2 RNA". From Rfam's summary of the family: This family represents SL2 RNA. SL2 RNA is involved in trans splicing in lower eukaryotes. The record is from RNAcentral. Lineage: Eukaryota; Metazoa; Nematoda; Chromadorea; Rhabditida; Rhabditidae.
GGUUUUAACCCAGUUAACCAAGGUUAGCAUGGAUUUCGACCUUUCGAAAGAGAGUGUUGAAUAAUACUGUAAUUUUUGGAAUCGCUUCUUCGGGGUUAUCCGUUGAGGCAAUA